This 347-nucleotide ribosomal RNA is filed under the name uncultured delta proteobacterium. Its description in RNAcentral is "partial 16S ribosomal RNA". It matches the Rfam family "Bacterial small subunit ribosomal RNA", at positions 503 to 845 of the family's 1533-position model. The record is from RNAcentral. Lineage: Bacteria; Deltaproteobacteria.
ACGUGCCAGCAGCCGCGGUAAUAAGGAGGAGGGGAGCGUUACUCGGAUUUAUUGGGCGUAAAGAGGGGGUAGGCGGUUBUUUAAGAUCAGAUGUGAAAAAAUCUGGAUUAACARGAGAAGAACAUMMGAAACUGAGGAACUUGAGGAGGGGAGAGGGAAAUGGAAAUCCCAGUGUAGAGGUGAAAUGCGUAGAUAUUGGGGGGAACACCAGUGGCGAAGGCGAUUUUCUGGGUUGAUAAUGAAGAUGAGGGGMGAAAGAGUGGGGCGCCAAAAAGGAGUUAGAUACCCUGGUAGUCCACGCCGUAAAAGAUGGACACUAGGUGUGGGGGGUAUNGACCCUUGCUGUG